GACGAACGCUGGCGGCGUGCCUAAUACAUGCAAGUCGAGCGAGACUCUUCGGAGUCUAGCGGCGGACGGGUGAGUAACACGUGGGCAACCUGCCUGUAAGACUGGGAUAACACCGGGAAACCGGUGCUAAUACCGGAUAAUCCUUUUCCUCUCAUGAGGAAAAGCUGAAAGUCGGUUUCGGCUGACACUUACAGAUGGGCCCGCGGCGCAUUAGCUAGUUGGUGAGGUAACGGCUCACCAAGGCGACGAUGCGUAGCCGACCUGAGAGGGUGAUCGGCCACACUGGGACUGAGACACGGCCCAGACUCCUACGGGAGGCAGCAGUAGGGAAUCUUCCACAAUGGACGAAAGUCUGAUGGAGCAACGCCGCGUGAGCGAUGAAGGCCUUCGGGUCGUAAAGCUCUGUUGUUAGGGAAGAACAAGUACCGGAGUAACUGCCGGUACCUUGACGGUACCUAACCAGAAAGCCACGGCUAACUACGUGCCAGCAGCCGCGGUAA
RNAcentral lists this ribosomal RNA (500 nucleotides) under uncultured bacterium. RNAcentral's name for it is "partial 16S ribosomal RNA". It matches the Rfam family "Bacterial small subunit ribosomal RNA", at positions 28 to 523 of the family's 1533-position model. The record is from RNAcentral.